AUUAAACGCUGGCGGCAUGCCUUACACAUGCAAGUCGAACGGCAGCACGGGGGCAACCCUGGUGGCGAGUGGCGGACGGGUGAGUAAUACAUCGGAACGUGCCCAUGAGUGGGGGAUAGCCCGGCGAAAGCCGGAUUAAUACCGCAUACGCCCUUAGGGGGAAAGCGGGGGAUCUUCGGACCUCGCGCUAUUGGAGCGGCCGAUGUCGGAUUAGCUAGUAGGUGAGGUAAAGGCUCACCUAGGCGACGAUCCGUAGCUGGUCUGAGAGGAUGAUCAGCCACACUGGGACUGAGACACGGCCCAGACUCCUACGGGAGGCAGCAGUGGGGAAUAUUGGACAAUGGGCGAAAGCCUGAUCCAGCCAUGCCGCGUGGAUGAAGAAGGCCCUAGGGUUGUAAAGUCCUUUCGGUGGUGAAGAUAAUGACGGUAACCACAGAAGAAGCCCCGGCUAAUUUCGUG
RNAcentral lists this ribosomal RNA (459 nucleotides) under uncultured bacterium. Its description in RNAcentral is "bacterial SSU rRNA". It matches the Rfam family "Bacterial small subunit ribosomal RNA", at positions 29 to 507 of the family's 1533-position model. The record is from RNAcentral.